This 440-nucleotide ribosomal RNA is filed under the name uncultured Sulfurimonas sp. Its description in RNAcentral is "bacterial SSU rRNA". It matches the Rfam family "Bacterial small subunit ribosomal RNA", at positions 338 to 795 of the family's 1533-position model. Lineage: Bacteria; Pseudomonadati; Campylobacterota; Epsilonproteobacteria; Campylobacterales; Sulfurimonadaceae. The record is from RNAcentral.
CCUACGGGAGGCAGCAGUGAGGAAUAUUGCACAAUGGAGGAAACUCUGAUGCAGCAACGCCGCGUGGAGGAUGACGCAUUUCGGUGUGUAAACUCCUUUUAUGAGUCAAGAAAAUGACGGUAGCUCAUGAAUAAGCACCGGCUAACUCCGUGCCAGCAGCCGCGGUAAUACGGAGGGUGCAAGCGUUACUCGGAAUCACUGGGCGUAAAGGACGCGUAGGCGGACUAGAAAGUCAGAUGUGAAAGCCUAUGGCUCAACCAUAGAAUUGCAUUUGAAACUUCUAGUCUAGAGUGUGGGAGGGGGAGAUGGAAUUAGUGGUGUAGGGGUAAAAUCCGUAGAUAUCACUAGGAAUAUCUAAAGCGAAGGCGAUCUCCUGGAACAUUACUGACGCUGAGGCGUGAAAGCGUGGGGAGCAAACGGGAUUAGAUACCCGAGUAGUC